This 275-nucleotide ribosomal RNA is filed under the name Escherichia coli. Its description in RNAcentral is "partial 23S ribosomal RNA". It matches the Rfam family "Bacterial large subunit ribosomal RNA", at positions 918 to 1191 of the family's 2925-position model. Lineage: Bacteria; Pseudomonadati; Pseudomonadota; Gammaproteobacteria; Enterobacterales; Enterobacteriaceae. The record is from RNAcentral.
GCAAGGGGGUCAUCCCGACUUACCAACCCGAUGCAAACUGCGAAUACCGGAGAAUGUUAUCACGGGAGACACACGGCGGGUGCUAACGUCCGUCGUGAAGAGGGAAACAACCCAGACCGCCAGCUAAGGUCCCAAAGUCAUGGUUAAGUGGGAAACGAUGUGGGAAGGCCCAGACAGCCAGGAUGUUGGCUUAGAAGCAGCCAUCAUUUAAAGAAAGCGUAAUAGCUCACUGGUCGAGUCGGCCUGCGCGGAAGAUGUAACGGGGCUAAACCAUG